UACGUAGGGUGCAAGCGUUGUCCGGAAUUAUUGGGCGUAAAGAGCUCGUAGGCGGUUUGUCGCGUCUGCUGUGAAAACUCGGGGCUUAACCCCGGGCCUGCAGUGGGUACGGGCAGACUAGAGUGCGGUAGGGGAGACUGGAAUUCCUGGUGUAGCGGUGAAAUGCGCAGAUAUCAGGAGGAAUACCGAUGGCGAAGGCAGGUCUCUGGGCUGACACUGACGCUCAUGCACGAAAGCGUGGGGAGCAAACAGG
Molecule: ribosomal RNA, 253 nt
Filed under: uncultured bacterium
Lineage: Bacteria
Description: partial 16S ribosomal RNA
Rfam family: Bacterial small subunit ribosomal RNA
Source: RNAcentral